GAUGAAGAACGCAGCGAAAUGAGAUAAGUAAUGUGAAUUGCAGAAUUCAGUGAAUCAUCGAAUCUUUGAACGCAUCUUGCGCUCCUUGGUAUUCUGAGGAGCAUGCCUGUUUGAGUGUCAUUAAAUUCUCAACUACACUGACUUUGAAUUGGUGUGGCUUGGAUUUGGGGGGAAAAUUGUUGUGGGCUUUUUGUAUAGUCUGCUCCCCUGAAAUUGAUUAGCGGUACCUUUGUGGAACUGUCUACAGGUGUGAUAAUUAUCUACAUCUUAGACAUCUGCUGGAAUGCUGCUUUCUAAACCUUACUUGUAUUGACAAUCUUGACCUCAAAUCAGGUAGGACUACCCGCUGAACUUAAGCAUAUCAAUAAGCGGAGGA
RNAcentral lists this unclassified non-coding RNA (376 nucleotides) under soil metagenome. RNAcentral describes it as "partial contains 5.8S ribosomal RNA, internal transcribed spacer 2, and large subunit ribosomal RNA". The stretch from base 1 to 120 matches the Rfam family "5.8S ribosomal RNA", at positions 35 to 154 of the family's 154-position model. The record is from RNAcentral.